This is a long non-coding RNA of Oreochromis niloticus (Nile tilapia), 1328 nucleotides long. RefSeq lists it as uncharacterized. The record is from RefSeq and is a predicted model, not a curated record. The transcript has 4 exons. Lineage: Eukaryota; Metazoa; Chordata; Actinopteri; Cichliformes; Cichlidae.
GUAUCGUGCCAUCUCUAAUCUGAACUACACUGUCUUGGUGGGACUCUGAAUAAAGGACUUUUACUCUUCUUUCACCAUCAGCUGGAGCACAGGCUUUAAGGGGACAUCAUUCAUGAAUGUGUUUGCAGCCUGUUAAAGGCAGUCAAAACAGAGUCAAGAGGGCAAAGUUGUUUCUCAACUUUACACCUAUCACAAAGAGCCGAUGAAGAGGAGGCCCUGCACGUGAAGAAGAUGCAGAUCAGCGUGUGAGGUCCAGAGCGAUGAGCGUGUCUGAACAUGCCGAUGAAACAAACGGCGGAACAGCCUCAAAGGCAAAGAGCUUCUCUCUGCACACUCAGCGUGCUCACUCUGAUUAACGUGAAGUGAAGCAGGACACAGUGAUGGAGGCCGACCCGGAGCCAGAGCCAGGAGGGGGCGGCUGGUCUUCUGGGUGGGGGUCGUUUCCGUGGAUUGUUUCAGAGCUGGGAGGAGGAGGAAUGAAAAAAUAAAGCACUGUACCAAUCAGAAUUAUUGUCUGAAGGCCAAGAAAAAUGCUCAACAGAUUUUAUUUCCCAAGUGUUCAUUUUGUGCAAUUUCUUUCACUACUCUGAGCCCACGCUGUGUGUUGCAGAUGUGACCAGCAGGGGGCAGCAGCUCCCUAAACUCUGCUUCUCUGACUGUAGCUUUGAGUUCUGGGGGAGGAUGAAGAUUUCUGCCUCCUCUGCUGUCCCAGCUCGUGUUUCUGCAGAACAUGGCCCCCCCUUGGGGGGGGUUCCGGACAUUUCCUGCUCGCUGCGAUAACAAAAUGAGCUCAACAGUCUUCUUCCUGCACAUUAACUGCUCUGCCUCAGAGUCUACCGGCCCCAAAGAACCACCAUACUCGAGGCAGACCUCAUCCCAGUGCUACUUUCCUCUCACGGUUCAAUUUGUUGGACUAACUGAAGAUUUUCUCAGUAGUCAAGAGUGAAAAAUAGUAAGACUUCCGCAUGUGUGGAUGCCUGAACGCAGAGAAUAAAACUAACUAAAACUCAAAACAAACACUGUCGACCUGCAGGACGACCCAAUCAGUCCAAACACUGUCUCCGGACAGUUCCUGCAGGUCUCUUCUGGACUCUGGUUCAUCAUGAUCCAUCUCAAUCAUUAAAAAGCAGAGGCCUCAGACUUUGGUCAGGGAAACCCGUCAGCUGAUUCUGACUCAUUUGUUUACGAGCUCCAGCUGAUUUUUCCACGGAAACGACCCCCACCCAGGCUGUGAUCAGCUGACCUGCUGCUCCGUCAACUACAGCGUGAUGUUUUUAACACGGAUGAAGGGCUUUUAUUAAUGACUUAAUAAAAAUGAAAUAUUAGGA